AUCCAGUUGACGAGUCCCAUACAGGACGAAUUGUUCGUCUUGGAU
Molecule: non-coding RNA, 45 nt
Organism: Schistosoma rodhaini
Lineage: Eukaryota; Metazoa; Platyhelminthes; Trematoda; Strigeidida; Schistosomatidae
Source: Rfam